AGGGAAAUCUGGUGCUUCUCCAGAUGGCCUGAUAUGAAGGAGUCACGCCUCCCGCCUUCCGGAGCUGCCCAGUGGCUGCCUUGUCCUUCAAGUGCAGGAGCUGGUUCAAAUGUCGGAAAUGGAAGCCAGUGUGACCAUCCCAAUCUGGCAAAACAAGCCACAUGGGGCUGCUCGAAGUGUAGUAAGAAGAAUUGGGACCAACCUACCCUUGAAGCCGUGUGCCCGGGCGUCCUUUGAGACCCUGCCCAACAUCUCUGACCUGUGUUUGAGAGAUGUACCCCCAGUCCCUACCCUGGCUGACAUCGCCUGGAUUGCUGCGGAUGAAGAGGAGACAUAUGCCCGGGUCAGCUUCGGCUUCAUUAACGCCAGAUUUCUUAUCUCCAGGAAGUUCAAAUGUCUCUUCUCCCUUACCUUGUUUUGGAUCCUCAUUCCACUCUACAACUUCCUUUGUCAUUAGUGACAUCACCGAGGAGACAGAGGUGGAGGUCCCUGAGCUUCCAUCAGUCCCCCUGCUUUGUUCUGCCAGCCCUGAAUGUUGCAAACCAGAACACAAAGCUGCCUGCAGUUCGUCUGAAGAGGAUGACUGCGUCUCUUUGUCCAAGGCCAGCAGCUUUGCCGACAUGAUGGGUAUCCUGAA
RNAcentral lists this small RNA (637 nucleotides) under Pongo abelii (Sumatran orangutan). RNAcentral's name for it is "processed transcript". The record is from RNAcentral. Lineage: Eukaryota; Metazoa; Chordata; Mammalia; Primates; Hominidae.